CUUGGUGAAUUUCACUUUAUUU
RNAcentral lists this microRNA (22 nucleotides) under Ananas comosus (pineapple). RNAcentral's name for it is "microRNA s1199_c020b". Lineage: Eukaryota; Viridiplantae; Streptophyta; Magnoliopsida; Poales; Bromeliaceae. The record is from RNAcentral.